CACACACGCACACACACACACACACACACACACACACACACAGCCAUGCAGAGGCCAGUGGAAAUACCACAUUCACACACGCACAUUCACACAGCGGGAAGUUUGCCAAAAAUGGUUGGAUGGUUGUUUGUGUAGGGUAGCCCAAUGGGGGAAUCUAACAUGAGGCAGCCAUUUUGUUUUGCCUGGUCUGGAGGCUGGCUGUGGUGCUGGUGUGUGUGUGUGUGUGUGUGUGUGUGUGUGUGUGUGUGGUGCUGGUGUGUGAGGGAAGAGUAGAGUAGACUGGGGCUACCCAGGACGUACACACUGGCACUGCCAAUCACACACUCCCAACACUGUCUCUGAUUGGCUGUGGCAUGGCGUCUCCGGCCCCCUUGGCCAAUCACAAAACGGAAGAGAAAAGAUUUCUGUUUCUGUCUGAAGAGUUUGUUGAGUUUAUUUUUGUUUGUUUUUUUCCUCUCUCCCAAAGCACUGGAAAAAAAUAUGUGAUUUUUUUUUGCCUUUAUACAAGAAUUUCUGAAGUGCAUAUUUAUGCAUUUUUAUUUUAUGAUGUGAAAUCCCUCUAAACCACUCAUGUGUAUUUUAUUUGUGUUGUCCUUUUUUAUUUUAUUUUAUUUUAUUCUUCAUAAAUGACCUUUUCUAUCUCAAUGCAGAGCCAUUUAAAUAUGAGAAUAUUUAACCCACUUGCAUUUGGACUAUGGCAGGUAAAGAGCCGGCUUCCAUAUAUAUAUUUUUCUUUGUGUAAAAUAAAUCGUUUAAAUAUUCAUCAGGCUUUUUAGAGAUUCAAAAAAAACAUGUAUGAUGCAUUUUUAUAUUGAUUUGAUUUCUUUUGUAAGGAAUAAGCAGAUGAAAAGGAAUGAAUUUGAGUGAUUAUUCUUUUAAUUCUACUGGGUUUUAAUUGCGCUUUGCGAAUGUAAAGUUAUCUACUGUACAAUGGCGAGUUUGAAAACUCAAGCGUUAUGAUCUUUAUGGUGCCUUGAAGUCUGCUUGUGUUGAAAAAAACGUAUAAACUGCCCGAGUCUCCCAUGGCAACCAGCACGGAGGCACCCUGGGCAGCAAAGGCUUCUGGGAGCUCCCCAAACUGCCACGGCUCUCUGGACUUUAUGUUUCUUUUGUGUUUUUUUAUAAAUACAAAAUGGCCGUCAUCCUCCACUCCAACAAGCCUGGGAGCGCCCUGUCCUCUCCUCCUCUCCUCCUCUCCUCCUCUCC
This is a long non-coding RNA of Clupea harengus (Atlantic herring), 1206 nucleotides long. Lineage: Eukaryota; Metazoa; Chordata; Actinopteri; Clupeiformes; Clupeidae. The record is from Ensembl.